RNA transcript from Lolium rigidum, 2970 nucleotides. RefSeq lists it as uncharacterized. The transcript is spliced from 10 exons. The record is from RefSeq and is a predicted model, not a curated record. Lineage: Eukaryota; Viridiplantae; Streptophyta; Magnoliopsida; Poales; Poaceae.
GAUCGGUUUCUUUCUUUUCUUUCCUUUCGUUUACCUCUAAUUUCCGGUGUUCCCGGUCUUCACCGAUCGUGCAUGUCUUUAGACUUCCACAGUCAUCCUCCCAUUGACACGUAUGUUUUUUACGUGUCCAUCUUCUUUCUCCAUCCUUCUUUCAACCGCUUUUCUUUUUCGUAAAUUCCUCUCUUCCUCAAUUUCCGAGUCCAUACCUAGCUUACAGGUUUGUGUCGGAGAGUCCGCCGUUUCUUCCUUCAUCAUGUUCUUCUUCUUCCUCAUUCGGAUUUCCUUGCCUCUGUUUUGCCAGGUCUCAGAAUGAGAAGGGAUGGCGGGGCGAGGCCGCCGCCUCUGCAUUUGCUUCUGUCGCGACGCCAUGGGCUGGAGGACUUAACUUCUAUCCAUGCUCAGAUGUCGUUCUUGCCAUUGCCUGCGCGGUCUGUGCCACCGCUUCCUUCAUCCGUGCCCUUGCAUCCGUCUUCGUCGCUGUGUAGCUGGCCUAGCCUCGAUGAGCUGUCUUUUGGGUCGACGGGCCAUUGCUCAUCGUAUUCCCGCGGGCGUGCCCCAGGCUUCUAUGCCGCCGCUGGUGUUGUUGGCAUCCCAGUUGUUGAUUCGGUUGUUGCUGCUGCCUCUGGUGCCUCCGAUCACCUGCCGUCUCGGGUUUUCCUCUUGGUUGCUACUGAUUCUCUGGCUGUUCCUCGGCCUGGUGCGGGUGUACACCGGGGAUCUGGUUGUUCGUGUGGGCGAUCACUUUCCGCUUCAGUUCAUCCACCUCUACGCCGGCAGCUUCAUCUGCAAGGUGUUGCUCCCGCUGCCGCUGUUGGCCGUGGUCCUUUUUUGCCAGCUGUGUGUGUUCCUUUCUGUCUGCUGCCUCUCGUGUUCCUCUGCUGAUUGCUGGCUCUAUCCACCCUUCUUCGCCUGUGCGUGGUCAGACUGCUGAUUCUUCGUGCUCUUGGCCGGGGUGGACCUGUCGUUCAUCGUUCCAUUGCCUCCUCAACUUUGUCCGCUGUUGCUUCUUCCAGUUUCAGAAUUUUUAACUUAGAGAUGGGUGGAGCAAAUCAAAGAGAUGGGAUGUUAAUGUUGGCAUUAUUCAGAUGCACCCGGGUGGUUCUUCCUUAUCCUUUAUUGGCGUCCCUUUCUGGGGCGAGUUCCUCUAAUCCUGGCCUUUACAUGGACUCUUCUGACGAUGAAUCUCCUGCUGGGUUGUUGUGUCCACCUGCUGAUUCGCUCGGUGGUGAGGGUGGCCUGCCUGCCUCACGCCGCUGGACUCCUCUUCCACCCAUUCAUUCUGACGGUUUCGAACUUUCAAUCAUAUUGGUAUAGGAUCUCGCAGUUCGCGUCCAGGUACGGAUUGUUCAUUGUUUUGCUUUUUGUCUAUUCUUGCGAACCUCACUAUGCAGAGUUCAACGCCUCCAGUAUCUAUUCCACCGGUGAGGCCUGCUGCUUCUUCUCUCUUCAUCACUGUCUCUCAGUCAGUUCUUUGCGGUUUUCCUACGAAUUUAGGUUUCUCUUUUUUCCUUGGAUUUAGCCUUAUAUUUCUUCUUUGGUUUGGUUUCACUCCCUUGCUUACUGUCUGAUCCUUGCUGUUUAUUAUAUUCCUGAUUGUUUACACUUAUUUGCUUACUUACAUCUGUCCAAUACCCUGCACUUUACUGUACAUUCAUCAUGGCUACUGAUUUUUCAGAUUUCUAUAUGUUCAUCAUGGGUGUCAAUGUUUACUAAUCAUCCUAUCUUGCAGGAAAUUUGCAGUAGUAGCAAUGCAGGCAACCUCGGUCAGAGAUAUCAAACCUCGAGGAUCUCCGAGGCGUGCUGUUGUGCGCAUCACACGGAUGUGGGACAAUAUGAACAAACAGCAUGAGCGCUAUGAGAUAGGCUUCAUGUUCGUUCAUCAUUUGUAAGUCUUAGUCACGGACAACAUGUCCCAUCAAAUGUACAUUUACACGGAUAGAAGUUUCUCUACUCUCGGACCGGAUAGACCAAUUUAAAGAUGAACUAAAGGAAGGCAUACUUUACAAGCUGGAGUCGUUUAUGAUCGUUGGCCCCCGGAAGAACUAUAGAGCAGGAGAUCACUAUUAUAGGAUUCGGAUUUCACAGAACACAAAAGUACAAGCUGAAGGUUAGCGUAACAGAUGUGGAACCAAACGCUGACAAUGUGCCCGUCACUGGCCACUUGACAUUCCUCGGCGAGAGUGGCGAGGCUCUCGCAGGAAAAGAGGCAGAUCUUCUUGCUCCACUCACUAAAUGCCGUCCUAAUUAUGUCCGCGCUGCUAUUAGUGCCACAGUUGGCAAGAAGUGCACUAUCAUCGCCGAGGUAGACCAGGAGACCUACGAUGCUGAUCCUCGGAUAGUGUUUCUUACCGUCUCGAAGGCCCGGCUAAUCACUAACACAGUGCCUCAGAUCUUCUACCGACACUAGCCUUGCAAUAGCUGAUAAGACGAUCGCUCCAGCCGAUGACCUCGAAGGCACACAGGGCCACCUCCCAGAAGGCUCCAGCUCACAGACAACGCCUUCGAAGGAUAUAACUGGACCAGCCGAUGAUGACGAACCAGAGGACAUAGGUAAGGCAAUCAAACAUAAGAAGUGGAAGAACACCAACGACAAGAAAUAAGGACCUGCCAUCUGCCAAGGCAUUAUUCAAAGGGAAGAAGUAGCAUUAGCCUUGCCAGGCUGUCAUCACAGGACAAGGCUAGGACAAGCGCAUCGUCAAGGAAAUCAAGCAAGUAAACCAACCACCCAGCUGCAAAUAAAGCUUCUCAUCAACCUGUCAGCUUAUGCUAUUAGGUCUAUCUUAACUAAUAGUAUCCUAGGUGAAUAGCCUUGCAGUCUCCUAAGAUUGCAUACCCAAAACUCAAUGUGUGAGUGUUUGCUCUUCAAAUCUCAAGUAUGAUUAUCUAUGUACAGUUAUCCAAUAUGCAUACCUUUAAUUAUCCACUACUAUAUGUACCCUGAGACUUAAUAAAGCACCACUGUUCUAACUA